Long non-coding RNA from Lutra lutra (Eurasian river otter), 3821 nucleotides. RefSeq lists it as uncharacterized. The record is from RefSeq and is a predicted model, not a curated record. The transcript is spliced from 3 exons. NCBI's taxonomy places the organism in Eukaryota, Metazoa, Chordata, Mammalia, Carnivora, Mustelidae.
CACCGUAGUUUUCCUGUCUUGAGUUUCAGUUCCUCUCUAUUCCCUUAUGAAGUCAUUUUGCUGGUAGAAUAACUGGCUCUUUUGCUUUUUAAGGUCAGCAUUACAUGGUGACCCAGAUGGGAACCAAAGGAGAGGAACCCCUGAGGAAGUCACGACCCCCAGAACCAUAUAGAGUACCUACGUUAGUGCCUUGUGCUUUCUGCUUCUGUGAGUCAUCUUGCCUUUAGUUCGUUAAAAGGACUAGGAUGGAAUGGGAAACUGUCUGCUUCAGAUUCAGUUAUUUUAGCAAAGUGGCCCACCCACACCCCAGAGAAUUCAGCUACAAGGAAGACCACUAAAAUCUUUAAUUUUCAACUCUAACAAAUGGAAGCGCCUUAAGCAAAAGCAACCCCCUCCUGGUCUCUGCCAUUAUUGGACAUUGGAAGAAAGAUUGUUCCAAAGGUAAGUGUUCUAAGUGCCUUCAGCCCUCCAACCAGCCUUUCCAGUGCCCUCCGAACUCCCAACUACACGACUCCGAAGAAUUACAGGGGCUUUUCCCAAUUCUUCCUCUUUACCAGCUUGGAGAAGAAACUCUCCAGACUGGGUAUGAAUCUCUUUGUGUCCUUGUCGACACCAGACCUACGCUCUCAGUGCGCAGUCCUACUGUUAUUAAACAGCCCCUGCUUGAAGUACUGAAAUGGUUUAAGUAGUGGGGGUCACUAAUAAACCUCAGCCCGUUCCUAUCUUUAAACCAAUUCCUUCUUGUUUCCUUUAAGAGAUACUCAUUCUUUUCUUCUUAGUUCCUUUGCCCCUAUUCAAUUUUUGGGCUGAGAUUUCUUAGAAAAAUAACAUUGGAAUUUUUUUCUCCUGAAAGGGGGAGAUAAUUCUAGAAUUUGAUAGCAACAACCAAAAUUGCCAGCUCGGUGAAUCAGAUGACCCUUCAACAUCUUGUAUUUGUUCCGUCAGAUUUUUCACUGUGAUUGAUUUCUCUGUGGAUAAGGUCCGUCAAUUAUCUCUUUGCCUUUUGGGGAACAAGAGCAGUGUACCUGGGCAGUAAUGCCCCAGAGUUUUGCUGAAAGUCCUUCCUACUUCUCCCAAAUCUUAAAAGUGGAUUUAGAAGAUACAAAGUUAACUAGAAGUUCUGCCUUAUUACAAUACUCAGGCACUUGCUUCUCUGAUCCCCUUCUCAGGCGUUGCACGGACAGCAUCCACCUGUUUAGGCUGUUAGCCUUAAAAGGAACGCAAGGUUUCCAUGGAGAAACUGCAGUUUUCUCAGACUCUGGUUUGAUAUUUGCAGCACCUGAGCUCAGAACAAAAGCUACACAUAGAUCCAAAUAGGCUUCAUGGCAUCCUGAACUUCCCAAAACGAAGCCAGUUGUAAGGUUUUCUUAGGCUAGCUGGCUGCUGUGAAAAAUUAGAUUCCAGACUCUCUUGCUGUACUAAUCUUAACCUUGCCACCAUUCUUCCUUCUCUGUGGACAGUCCUCUUCAUGACUGUCAGACUCCCUGUGCUGGCUUACAGAAAGCUUCUUUGCAUAAAGCAGACUUUUGGUGGUUUACCAAUAGUUCUUAUUUAAAAGGUGGAAAUGGUAAAUAUUAUGUUGGGUAUGCUAUACAGGUUUUUUUUUAAGCCAUUAAGACAGCACCUUUGCCCUCAGCUAUCCUGGCCCAACAGGCUCUUCUUGUUCGGACUGCAUUUUAGCCAAGGGCAAAACUGAAAAUAUCUAUACUGACGGUAGGUAGGCCUUUGAAGUAGCUCAUCACUUUGGAAUGCUAAGGAAACAGUGAGGCUUCCUCACUUCUAGUGGGGACAAAAUUAAAAAUGGCCUUUAUGUUCAGAAAUGACUAGAUGCCAUACACUUGGCAGGUGCUUUGGCCGGUGUUAAGGUCCCUGCACAUUCUAAGCUGGAUUCCUUGGAGGCCAGAGGAAACCACCUAGUUGAUAUUUCCGCAAAGAAUGCUGCUCUUGAAGGAACCAACAGCCAAACCUCUGUCAUGGUCAAAGGGAUGUUCCCCUCCCCAAAUGAUAAUCUAGAAAAAUUGACUAGAGAUGCCCAACCAUCAGCCCCAGAAAAGGAAAAAACAACAUUGAAAACCUAAUGACUGCUGGUUUAAUUAAAAAAAAAAAAAGAAAACUCUGGGUUGGGCCAAAUAAUAAUCCAGUGCUGCCACAGACUCUAAAAUUCCUGGUACUGACUACUGUAUAUGUAUCCAAUCAUUGGUCUGCUGAUAAAAUGAAAACCUUUGAGCCAAUACUGGUGGGUAAAUGUUAACAAGACCACACAGUGCCUACUCUGCUUGCCCUACCUGCCUUUAAAUAUAAUUUGGGAAAACCUGUGUGCACUGCUUCUGGACACUGUAAAUUGCCCAAUGAAUCAAAGUUUGGCAGAUGGAUUUUAUUCAGCUUCCUCCGUCUCAGGCAUAUAAAUUUGUCUUGAUAAUGGUUUGUAUGUUUUCUCACCGGACUGCUAUUUUUUUUGUGGCUAAAAUCCUGCUAGAAAAAAUCAUCCGUACCUGGGGAAUUCCCCUCAAACUUCAUAGUGACCAGAGAACUUGCUUCAACAGGUUUGUGUUGUUUGGGUAUUGUUACAACAUUUCUCCUGUGUUUGCUACCCUUAAUCCUCAGGGCAAGUCAAACACACUAAUGGUAUUGUUAAGCAAAAUUUGUAGAGGCUCUUCAAAUAAUCCGGCCAAAAGCACUGCCAUUAGUUUUCCUACAUUUUAGAUCUACCUCUUUGGAACCUAUAAACUCUUACCUUUUGAGAUAAUCACAGGAUGGCCCAUGUACUUGGCUCCUGCUUCUUUUGAUCCACAAAUGGUAAAAGGAGAUAUACUUAAAUAUUGCACAGGCCCAAUUGCUUCUGUUGAGAAUAACCACGCUUUAGUAGAACAAUCUUUCCACAGUGUGUUCCUGGGAGACAAAGAUCUAAAGCGUCAUACCUUGCAGUCCAGAGAUUUCAUCUAUUGGAAAAGACAGCUACAGGAAGACUCUCUUCAACCCUGUUGGAAAGGCCCCUUUCAGAUUUAAUUUUUAAACGAAUCUCUCCACCCAACGUGGAGCUCGAACUCACAACCCGGAGAUCAAGAGUUGCACACUCCUCUGACUGAGCCAGCCAAGAGCCUCCCGUGUGUCACAUCUAAUGAAAGUGCCAAACCCUGACUAGAUCUGCACAUCCCCUGAGUAUCUGGAAAUAAAGAUUUCCAGGAAUUGAAGCAGACGACAGCUGAAGGAGACAGCUUUCCCAAGAUGACUGGACCAGACCUGUAUACCUUUUUCUCGCUGUUGCUUCUUACCUUAUUUCCUCCCUUUCUUUCUAAUCUAUUGCAAAAAGGGAGCCUUUCUGGCUGUUGGAUCUGACACCAGAAACUUCGAUUUGUUCUUCCCUAUUUAUUAUUUGUUUCCCUGCAUCCAAGGGAAAUACAAAUGAGCUAAUUCCUCUUUGCAAGGCUUUUUAAAAAAAGAUUUUUGUUUAUUUAUUUGAGUGAGAGAGCGCAAAAGUAAGUGAGCAGGGAGGAGCAAAGGGGAAAGGAAAAAGAAUCUGAAGCAGAUUCCGCACUGAAUAUGGAGCCCUACUCGGGGCUGGAUCCCAUAACAGCAAGAUCAUGACCUGAGCCAAAACCAAGAGUCUGAUGCUCAACCAACUGAGCCAUGUAGGUGCCCCUGCAAGGCUUUUGGAAAAGACCCCUUUAGCCUUGCAGAAGUUCUGCUCAUCUUACUCUGUAUAAUCUUUUUUUAAACAAGAUUUUAUUUAUUUAUUUGACAGAGAUCACAAGUAGGCAGAGAGGCAGGCAGAGAGAGGAGGAAGCAGGCUCCCUGCUGAGCAGAGAGUCCGACUCGAGGCU